GGUCAGGAACCAUGCGAGCAGUUACCGCCUAACCCCGCCAGGUUCGGAAGGAAGCAACGGUAAGCGGAGGAUUGUUGCGCCGUGGCCCUCCUGACUCUG
Molecule: signal recognition particle RNA, 99 nt
Filed under: Spirochaetaceae bacterium
Lineage: Bacteria; Pseudomonadati; Spirochaetota; Spirochaetia; Spirochaetales; Spirochaetaceae
Description: signal recognition particle sRNA small type
Rfam family: Bacterial small signal recognition particle RNA
About the family: The signal recognition particle (SRP) is a universally conserved ribonucleoprotein involved in the co-translational targeting of proteins to membranes.
Source: RNAcentral